AGACCAUGAUGAGGACAAUGCCUAAGUAAGUCCUUAUAUCUUUCCCAAGCUUUGUAAGCAACUCACCAUCAAACUGUGUAAAUGAAGUAAUAUCAUUCCUCAUCUU
Molecule: small nucleolar RNA, 106 nt
Filed under: Theobroma cacao (cacao)
Lineage: Eukaryota; Viridiplantae; Streptophyta; Magnoliopsida; Malvales; Malvaceae
Description: Plant small nucleolar RNA R71
Rfam family: Plant small nucleolar RNA R71
About the family: R71 is a member of the C/D box family of snoRNAs containing the C (UGAUGA) and D (CUGA) box motifs. Multiple nearly identical copies of this snoRNA have been identified in Arabidopsis, and it is thought to function as a 2'-O-ribose methylation guide for 18S ribosomal RNA.
Source: Rfam by way of RNAcentral